This 1787-nucleotide long non-coding RNA is filed under the name Sus scrofa (pig). RNAcentral's name for it is "lncRNA (ENSSSCG00055019168.1)". Lineage: Eukaryota; Metazoa; Chordata; Mammalia; Artiodactyla; Suidae. The record is from RNAcentral.
AUGCUGCUUCAGCUUCGGGAGCCUGAUUCCCGGCUGAUCCUCUGCCCGGAGUUCGCUGUGCGUGCCUGGCCCCUCGCGUGGGCUGAUCCUCCUGGCCACAGCACUGUUCCCUCUGCCCAGCUGGACUCCUCCCCACGGGUCCGCCGGGGCCCAGCUCCAGGGCGGCGGGCAGGGUGGUGGCUCUACGCAGGGGGUCUCUCCUCAUCAUCCUUCCGCCCCCCUUUUCCUUCUUCAGCCGCUCCCGCGGCAGGUGGAAGUUCCUCGGCCAGGGAUCGAGUUCGAGCCAGAGCAGCGACCCACGCCACAGCAACUUGGGAUCCUCAGCUCACAGCGCCGGGCCGGGGUCAAGGACAAGCCGGAUCGUUAAUCCACCAGGCCUCGUCUUCCUUUCACGAGGCUGUUUCUGUUAUUUUUUUCUUUUCUUUUUUUUUUUUUUUUUUUGCUAUUUCUUUGGGACGCUCCUGCGGUAUAUGGAGGUCCCCGGGUUAGGAGUCGAUUCGGAGCCACAGCCACUGGCCUACGCCAGAUCCACAGCAACGCGGGAUCCCAGCCACGUCUGCAACCUGCACCACAGCUCACGGCAACGCCGGAUCGUUAACCCACUGAGCAAGGGCAGGGACCGAACCCGCAACCUCAUGGUUCCUAGUCGGAUUCAUUAACCACUGCGCCACGACGGGAACUCCCUCUUUUAUUUUUUUCUAUGCUCAAGAAGGGUUGCUUUUGAAAAUGAAAACAAUUACUUGUAAUGACUGCUGGGGACUCUGCCCCGGAUCGUCCGUGUCGGAAAAUGAGACGCCUGAGCACGGGGAGGCCUCGGCAAGGCGCUCUCCUUCUGCACGAGGGCGCGGGGGCUCAAAAAGUGCGCGCCCCGAACAAAGGACCCUCCCCGUUUCUCCGUAAGGCGGGGGAUGGGCCCGUCCCCUUCCCACGGGUCGGGUCAGGGCGCACUUUCUUCCCGGGGGGCUCGUUUGAAACAUUGUUCCUGGGAGAAGAGGGAAAGAGGAGGGGGUCGCAGGAGGGCGUUUCGGCUGAAGCCGGAGCACAACAGAGUCCCCAAGGCUUCCUGUGACAGAGAAGACGCGGUGUCCUCUCCACAUGGUGACGCUGAGGACACCGAGUCCUGGGUCGGAGUCAUUGCUACUGCGAAGCUCACCUCGUCCCGUUCCCCCCCCACCCCCAGGGCGCCCCGGCCUCGUUUCUCGGGGCUCCGUCUGCCAGGGGCCUGCUGAGCCCCUGUGCACUUUCUUCAGGACACUUCAUCCUGGUCUGUGGCCCUGCGUGCGGUGCUGCCACUACUGGAAUGACAACUCUCACCCCCACUGGCUCCAUGAGAGCAAGGACCGUGUCUUUUCUUCUGUAAAACAUCCAUUUCAUCAUGAAGUAAAUCCAUCAUGAUAAAAAGGCAUCCAGUUAAAGUGUCCUUGAAUGAGUCUGGGCAGAUGCACACACCCUCGAACCCCACCCACCCUCGCAAUCAAGAUCCAGCAUCUCCACCUCGCCCCUGCAGCGACCCCGGUCAGGCACAGUCAACCAAGGCUCUGUUUUCUGCUGCUAUAAAUUCAUUUUGCCUGACCCAGAGCUUCACAUAAACGAAGCCCUGCAGGAUCUGGCUUCUCUUCCUCAGCAUAAUGCUUUUGGGGUGGAUUCUCCAAUUGCUGUGUGCUCAGUGGUCCUUUGUUUACUGCCCCUCAUACGGAGGUGCCUCCACUGGCAACACUCCAUCUGUUCGUGGGCAUCUGGGUUGGUUCCAUUUUUAGUCACAUGAAUAAAGCUGACAUGGGCAUUCA